GAUGAACGCUGGCGGCGUGCCUAAUACAUGCAAGUCGAGCGAACGGACGAGAAGCUUGCUUCUCUGAUGUUAGCGGCGGACGGGUGAGUAACACGUGGAUAACCUACCUAUAAGACUGGGAUAACUUCGGGAAACCGGAGCUAAUACCGGAUAAUAUUUUGAACCGCAUGGUUCAAAAGUGAAAGACGGUCUUGCUGUCACUUAUAGAUGGAUCCGCGCUGCAUUAGCUAGUUGGUAAGGUAACGGCUUACCAAGGCAACGAUGCAUAGACGACCUGAGAGGGUGAUCGGCCACACGGGAACUGAGACACGGUCCAGACUCCUACGGGAGGCAGCAGUAGGGAAUCUUCCGCAAUGGGCGAAAGCCUGACGGAGCAACGCCGCGUGAGUGAUGAAGGUCUUCGGAUCGUAAAACUCUGUUAUUAGGGAAGAACAUAUGUGUAAGUAACUGUGCACAUCUUGACGGUACCUAAUCAGAAAGCCACGGCUAACUACGUG
RNAcentral lists this ribosomal RNA (497 nucleotides) under uncultured bacterium. RNAcentral describes it as "partial 16S ribosomal RNA". It matches the Rfam family "Bacterial small subunit ribosomal RNA", at positions 28 to 507 of the family's 1533-position model. The record is from RNAcentral.